UACGUAGGGGGCAAGCGUUGUCCGGAUUUAUUGGGCGUAAAGCGCACGUAGGCGGCUUUGCAAGUCCGAUGUGAAAUCCCUCGGCUUAACCAAGGAAGUGCAUCGGAAACUGCAGAGCUUGAGUACUUAAGAGGAUCGCGGAAUUCCCGGUGUAGAGGUGAAAUUCGUGGAUAUCGGGAGGAACACCAGUGGCGAAGGCGGCGAUCUGGGAAGAUACUGACGCUGAGGUGCGAAAGCGUGGGGAGCAAACAGG
RNAcentral lists this ribosomal RNA (253 nucleotides) under uncultured bacterium. RNAcentral describes it as "partial 16S ribosomal RNA". It matches the Rfam family "Bacterial small subunit ribosomal RNA", at positions 524 to 776 of the family's 1533-position model. The record is from RNAcentral.